This is a non-coding RNA of Oryctolagus cuniculus (rabbit), 1246 nucleotides long. The record is from RefSeq and is a predicted model, not a curated record. Lineage: Eukaryota; Metazoa; Chordata; Mammalia; Lagomorpha; Leporidae.
UUUUGGAAGAUCUGCAGUGUAAAUGAUGUUUUUCUUGGCUUUUCCUGCUGCCAGCUUAGUGUUUGGCUUUUCCAGAUCUGCAAGAUCAAUUAUCAUCACAUAGUCUCUGGUGUUCUCUUUGUCCUUGUGGUUUUAUCCCUUCACUGUAAUCUUAGUGGCAUUGGGAGAGCUUAAGAAUGAGCCUAUAUUGUAAAUAUGCUAAAAACCACUGCACUGUGCAUCGUAAGUGGUGAACUUUAUGGCGUAUGAAUUCUAUAUCAAUAAAACAAAUUUUUAAAAAUGAGUAAAUGUAUGAGAAAUGCAUCUCAAAGUCUGAUUCCAGAUUUUACAUCAUCAUCAUCAUCAUCAUCAUCAUCAUCAUCAUCACUAUUAUUACUUGAGAGGCAGAGAGACAGAAAAAGAGUGAGCGAGAGAGAGACCAAAGAAUGAGAGAGCGAGCGAGCUUGUAUCUGUUGGUUCAUUGCUCUGGUACCUGAAAUAGCUGGAGAGGGCCAGGUUGAAGUUGGGAAGGAACUCAGUCCAGGCCUCCUACGUGGGUAGCAGGGCCAACUACCUAUCACCUGAUGCCUUCCAGGGUAUGCAUGAGCAGGAAGCAGGAGCUGGGAGAAGCCAGUACUUGAACAUGGUCACUCUGACAUGGGGUGCAGGUGUCCCAGCCAUCAGAUCAAAUGCCUGCUCUGUGACUCCAGAGUUUAGAAGCCCAGGACUGUGAGGGUUAUAAAUGAUGGUUCUGCUAAAACCACUCGGGUGUUGGGAGUCCUAUUUGGCCUUUGCAGAGUUGCUUUUUGUUGCCAGGGACACAGACUGUGGCUCUUAACCCUGACAGCACUUGUCCUUCUAGCCUGCCCCCUUUCUGCAAGAAGAAUAUUGGAACUCUGAAGAAUGAGCCAUCCUUCUAGGAGUGAAAUGGCCUGUAAGGCACGGAUUCAAACACUGUUAAAGCCGAAGGAGGCCAUGAGGACUCCUCUCCUGGAUUAUGUGAACUGGUUCAAAAUUGCAGCAUCAUAUGCACUCUGGUGUUUGAUUGGUCCAAGUCAGAACCGCUCUGGGACAAAGCUCUCUGCUAUGGCCUGUGAAAGCAGUGGAAGAUGGCCCAAGUCCUUGGGCCCCUGUACGCACGUAGGAGACCCGGAAGAAGCUCCUGGCUCCUGGCUUUGGAUCGGCACAGCUCUGACCGUUGCGGCCAAUUGGGGAGUGAACCAUCGGACGGAAGACCUCUCUCUCUCUCUGCUUCUCUCUCAGUGUA